RNAcentral lists this ribosomal RNA (493 nucleotides) under uncultured bacterium. Its description in RNAcentral is "partial 16S ribosomal RNA". It matches the Rfam family "Bacterial small subunit ribosomal RNA", at positions 28 to 507 of the family's 1533-position model. The record is from RNAcentral.
GACGAACGCUGGCGGCGUGCUUAACACAUGCAAGUCGAACGGUGAAGGGAGCGGUUUGUUCUUGUUCUGUAUGAGGGGGAAACGGGUGAGUAACACGGGAGUAACCUACCCCCUUCUUCGGUAUAACCGCAUGAAAGUGUCUCUAAUACGUGAUAUUCUUCGCCUGCUGCAUUGUGGGGUGGGGAAAGAUAUUGUUUCGGUGGGGGAUGGGCUCGCGGCCUAUCAGCUUGUUGGGGGGGGGAUGGACUACCAAGGCGGUGCAGGGUAGCCGGCCUGAGAGGGUGGACGAUACUACUGGGAAUGCGACAUCGAGAAGACUACUACGGGCGGCAGCAGUGGGGAAUACGGCACAAUGGGAGCAAUGCUGAUGCAGCGCCGCGGCGUGAGUGAUGGAGGCCUGAGCGUUGUACACCUCUUUCGCCAGUGAAGCAGGGCUGUACUUUCUGUGGGUGUCUUGACGGUACCUGGACAAGAAGCCACGGCUAACUACGUG